AGCGAACGCUGGCGGCAGGCCUAACACAUGCAAGUCGAACGAACUCUUCGGAGUUAGUGGCGGACGGGUGAGUAACACGUGGGAACGUGCCUUUAGGUUCGGAAUAACUCAGGGAAUCUUGUGCUAAUACCGAAUGUGCCCUUCGGGGGAAAGAUUUAUCGCCUUUAGAGCGGCCCGCGUCUGAUUAGCUAGUUGGUGAGGUAAAGGCUCACCAAGGCGACGAUCAGUAGCUGGUCUGAGAGGAUGAUCAGCCACAUUGGGACUGAGACACGGCCCAAACUCCUACGGGAGGCAGCAGUGGGGAAUCUUGCGCAAUGGGCGAAAGCCUGACGCAGCCAUGCCGCGUGAAUGAUGAAGGUCUUAGGAUUGUAAAAUUCUUUCACCGGGGACGAUAAUGACGGUACCCGGAGAAGAAGCCCCGGCUAACUUCGUG
Molecule: ribosomal RNA, 433 nt
Filed under: uncultured bacterium
Lineage: Bacteria
Description: partial 16S ribosomal RNA
Rfam family: Bacterial small subunit ribosomal RNA
Source: RNAcentral